This is a long non-coding RNA of Andrographis paniculata, 661 nucleotides long. RefSeq lists it as uncharacterized. NCBI's taxonomy places the organism in Eukaryota, Viridiplantae, Streptophyta, Magnoliopsida, Lamiales, Acanthaceae. The record is from RefSeq and is a predicted model, not a curated record. The transcript has 3 exons.
CCUGUUCUUUCUUUUUUCUUUUUUUUUUUCUUCUUCUUCCCGUACUUCCUCCUCCUCCUCCUUUUUAAGUUAUCAGUGCCACGCCCUUGAACCGUGCGCGGCCUCCGGCUUCCUCGCAAUCGACCGUGCUCCGCCGCCCGUUCCUUGACUCAUCGACCACGAGCCACCACUGCCCACCGACGCUCUCAACCGCCAGCUCUAGUUCUUUCCGUUUAAUCCAUUGAGUGAUGCAACAGUUUAUGGUACUUCUUUUGAUGGACCAAUCAGCUGUACUAACUAACUUAGAGACUGGAAUUUCACAAACACUGGCAAACCUUAAUCCCAAUGGGUGGCAGAUUUAUCUUCAUCGAGAGGCUGCAGGAAACAAUCCACUAAAAUCAUCAAGGGAGGAAGAAAAUGAUAGUUUUGUGUGAGAAAGGUGUGUACUUGGUACCAAUGAGAGAUAGUUAUAUUCCUAGACAAUACAUACUUGGUGCAACUGAUGGUGAUAGAUUUGAUGUUGCAUUUUUAUAUUUUGUAAUGUCGUCAACUGAUGACAAUAUAGAUUUUAUGUAUCAUUUUUACAUUUUGUAAUAUUAUUUUGCAAUUUUUUCUCGUAUCGUACAUAUUUUACGAUUCUGAUAUUGAUUAUUUUGUUAUUAGUGAAAAAUAAGAAUACUCU